UUUAAAGGGGAAAGCCCUUACCUAUUUUUGACAUCCAGAGAACUUUCCAGAGAUGGAUUUUUCCUUUGGGAACUAAAAAACAGGGGGCGCAUGGCUGUUGUCAGCUUGUGUUGUGAAAUGUUGGGUUAAGUCCCGCCAAGAGCGCAACCCUUAUUCUUUGUUCCCCACGAUUGGGUGGGGAACUCAAAGGAGACUGCGGGUGCAAAACGGGAGGAAGGUGGGGAUGACGUCAAGUCAUCAUGCCCCUUAGGAGUAGGGCAACACACGUGUUACAAUGGUGUUUACAGAGGGAAGCGAGACGCGAGGUGGAGCGAAUCUCACAAAGAAGUCUCAGUUCGGAUUGGAGUCUGCAACUCGCACUCCAUGAAGUCUGGA
RNAcentral lists this ribosomal RNA (375 nucleotides) under uncultured bacterium. RNAcentral's name for it is "bacterial SSU rRNA". It matches the Rfam family "Bacterial small subunit ribosomal RNA", at positions 954 to 1329 of the family's 1533-position model. The record is from RNAcentral.